RNAcentral lists this ribosomal RNA (605 nucleotides) under Staphylococcus aureus. RNAcentral's name for it is "bacterial SSU rRNA". It matches the Rfam family "Bacterial small subunit ribosomal RNA", at positions 220 to 817 of the family's 1533-position model. Lineage: Bacteria; Bacillati; Bacillota; Bacilli; Caryophanales; Staphylococcaceae. The record is from RNAcentral.
UAUAGAUGGAUCCGCGCUGCAUUAGCUAGUUGGUAAGGUAACGGCUUACCAAGGCAACGAUGCAUAGCCGACCUGAGAGGGUGAUCGGCCACACUGGAACUGAGACACGGUCCAGACUCCUACGGGAGGCAGCAGUAGGGAAUCUUCCGCAAUGGGCGAAAGCCUGACGGAGCAACGCCGCGUGAGUGAUGAAGGUCUUCGGAUCGUAAAACUCUGUUAUUAGGGAAGAACAUAUGUGUAAGUAACUGUGCACAUCUUGACGGUACCUAAUCAGAAAGCCACGGCUAACUACGUGCCAGCAGCCGCGGUAAUACGUAGGUGGCAAGCGUUAUCCGGAAUUAUUGGGCGUAAAGCGCGCGUAGGCGGUUUUUUAAGUCUGAUGUGAAAGCCCACGGCUCAACCGUGGAGGGUCAUUGGAAACUGGAAAACUUGAGUGCAGAAGAGGAAAGUGGAAUUCCAUGUGUAGCGGUGAAAUGCGCAGAGAUAUGGAGGAACACCAGUGGCGAAGGCGACUUUCUGGUCUGUAACUGACGCUGAUGUGCGAAAGCGUGGGGAUCAAACAGGAUUAGAUACCCUGGUAGUCCACGCCGUAAACGAUGAGUGCU